RNAcentral lists this ribosomal RNA (376 nucleotides) under uncultured bacterium. RNAcentral's name for it is "partial 16S ribosomal RNA". It matches the Rfam family "Bacterial small subunit ribosomal RNA", at positions 355 to 719 of the family's 1533-position model. The record is from RNAcentral.
UGGGGAAUUUUGGACGAAUUGGGCGAAAGCCUGAUCCAGCAAUGCCGCGUGUGUGAAGAAGGCCUUCGGGUUGUAAAGCACUUUUGUCCGGAAAGAAAUCCUUGGCUCUAAUACAGUCGGGGGAUGACGGUACCGGAAGAAUAAGCACCGGCUAACUACGUGCCAGCAGCCGCGGUAAUACGUAGGGUGCAAGCGUUAAUCGGAAUUACUGGGCGUAAAGCGUGCGCAGGCGGUUUGCUAAGACCGAUGUGAAAUCCCCGGGCUCAACCUGGGAACUGCAUUGGUGACUGGCAGGCUAGAGUAUGGCAGAGGGGGGUUAGAAUUCCACGUGUAGCAGUGAAAGUGCGUAGAGAUGUGGAGGAAUACCGAUGGCGAA